UACGUAGGGUGCAAGCGUUGUCCGGAAUUAUUGGGCGUAAAGAGCGUGUAGGCGGCCAGACAGGUCCGUUGUGAAAGUCAAGGGCUCAACCCUUGAAUGCCGGCGGAUACUGUCGGGCUAGAGUCCGGAAGAGGCAAGUGGAAUUCCCGGUGUAGCGGUGAAAUGCGCAGAUAUCGGGAGGAACACCUAUGGCGAAGGCAGCUUGCUGGGACGGUACUGACGCUGAGACGCGAAAGCGUGGGGAGCAAACAGG
RNAcentral lists this ribosomal RNA (253 nucleotides) under uncultured bacterium. RNAcentral's name for it is "partial 16S ribosomal RNA". It matches the Rfam family "Bacterial small subunit ribosomal RNA", at positions 524 to 776 of the family's 1533-position model. The record is from RNAcentral.